This 253-nucleotide ribosomal RNA is filed under the name uncultured bacterium. RNAcentral describes it as "partial 16S ribosomal RNA". It matches the Rfam family "Bacterial small subunit ribosomal RNA", at positions 524 to 776 of the family's 1533-position model. The record is from RNAcentral.
UACGGGGGGGGCAAGCGUUGUUCGGAAUUACUGGGCGUAAAGGGCUCGUAGGCGGCCAACUAAGUCAGACGUGAAAUCCCUCGGCUUAACCAGGGAACUGCAUCUGAUACUGGAUGGCUUGAGUUCGGGAGAGGGAUGCGGAAUUCCAGGUGUAGCGGUGAAAUGCGUAGAUAUCUGGAGGAACACCGGUGGCGAAGGCGGCAUCCUGGACCGACACUGACGCUGAGGAGCGAAAGCCAGGGGAGCAAACGGG